AGUGAACGCUGGCGGUAGGCCUAACACAUGCAAGUCGAACGGCAGCACAGUAAGAGCUUGCUCUUACGGGUGGCGAGUGGCGGACGGGUGAGGAAUACAUCGGAAUCUACUUUUUCGUGGGGGAUAACGUAGGGAAACUUACGCUAAUACCGCAUACGACCUACGGGUGAAAGCAGGGGAUCUUCGGACCUUGCGCGAUUGAAUGAGCCGAUGUCGGAUUAGCUAGUUGGCGGGGUAAAGGCCCACCAAGGCGACGAUCCGUAGCUGGUCUGAGAGGAUGAUCAGUCACACUGGAACUGAGACACGGUCCAGACUCCUACGGGAGGCAGCAGUGGGGAAUAUUGGACAAUGGGCGCAAGCCUGAUCCAGCCAUACCGCGUGGGUGAAGAAGGCCUUCGGGUUGUAAAGCCCUUUUGUUGGGAAAGAAAAGCAGCAGGUUAAUACCCCGCUGUUCUGACGGUACCAAAAGAAUAAGCACCGGCUAACUUCGUG
RNAcentral lists this ribosomal RNA (492 nucleotides) under uncultured bacterium. RNAcentral describes it as "partial 16S ribosomal RNA". It matches the Rfam family "Bacterial small subunit ribosomal RNA", at positions 29 to 507 of the family's 1533-position model. The record is from RNAcentral.